Molecule: long non-coding RNA, 159 nt
Filed under: Monodelphis domestica (gray short-tailed opossum)
Lineage: Eukaryota; Metazoa; Chordata; Mammalia; Didelphimorphia; Didelphidae
Description: lncRNA (ENSMODG00000047976.1)
Source: RNAcentral
UGAGGAAGUGGGAGUCAGUUGCUGAUAGGUGAUGGCAGUUGCAGGGAAGUUGGCUUCUAUAACUUAAACUCUCAAUGCUCUGCGUUUCAAGUUAAAGAGAAGGAGAAUACUAACAAUUGGAAGAAUCAGAAGAGACUACAUGUAGGAAGUGAUGAUUGA